GAUGAACGCUGGCGGCGUGCCUAAUACAUGCAAGUCGAGCGAACGGACGAGAAGCUUGCUUCUCUGAUGUUAGCGGCGGACGGGUGAGUAACACGUGGAUAACCUACCUAUAAGACUGGGAUAACUUCGGGAAACCGGAGCUAAUACCGGAUAAUAUUUUGAACCGCAUGGUUCAAAAGUGAAAGACGGUCUUGCUGUCACUUAUAGAUGGAUCCGCGCUGCAUUAGCUAGUUGGUAAGGUAACGGCUUACCAAGGCAACGAUGCAUAGCCGACCUGAGAGGGUGAUCGGCCACACUGGAACUGAGACACGGUCCAGACUCCUACGGGAGGCAACAGUAGGGAAUCUUCCGCAAUGGGCGAAAGCCUGACGGAGCAACGCCGCGUGAGUGAUGAAGGUCUUCGGAUCGUAAAACUCUGUUAUUAGGGAAGAACAUAUGUGUAAGUAAAUGUGCACAUCUUGACGGUACCUAAUCAGAAAGCCACGGCUAACUACGUG
RNAcentral lists this ribosomal RNA (497 nucleotides) under uncultured bacterium. RNAcentral's name for it is "partial 16S ribosomal RNA". It matches the Rfam family "Bacterial small subunit ribosomal RNA", at positions 28 to 507 of the family's 1533-position model. The record is from RNAcentral.